Pelobates cultripes (western spadefoot toad) is the source of this 403-nucleotide non-coding RNA. NCBI's taxonomy places the organism in Eukaryota, Metazoa, Chordata, Amphibia, Anura, Pelobatidae. The record is from the annotation of a GenBank genome assembly.
CAGCAGGUGAAGAGGAUCUCUGUAUGUAGCCAUUCCUUAGAGCAUCUUUUAUAUACUCCUCCAAGCAGAGAGUUUCUUGAGGAGACAACGCAUAGACUCUCCCUUUCGGAGGCAUAGUGCCUGGUAGCAGAUUAAUGGCACAGUCAUAGGGUCUAUGCUGUGGUAAUAUCUCUGACUGAACCUUAUUGAAAACUUCUUUUACCUCCAAAUACUGCGGUGGAAUUUCUGUGGUUAAAGGAGAGGCAGUAGGGACAUUGAUGGUACCAACACGUUGUGGCAUAUGGUGUUUACAAUGACUCUUGCAAUUCUCUCCCCAAACCACAAUCUCUCCUUUAAUCCAAUCUAGGGGUGGAUUGUGUUUCUGGAGCCAAGGUAAACCGAGUAUCACAGGACAUGAAGGGGA